Epinephelus lanceolatus (giant grouper) is the source of this 416-nucleotide long non-coding RNA. RefSeq lists it as uncharacterized. Lineage: Eukaryota; Metazoa; Chordata; Actinopteri; Perciformes; Serranidae. The record is from RefSeq and is a predicted model, not a curated record.
CAUAAACACUGGUAACAAGGGGAAACAGCUACCUCGCUCUGCUACAAGUUCAAAAUCCACCUACCAGCACCUCCAGGGCCUACUCAUUAACAUGUUUUCUGGCCUUUGAAGUCCAAACAGAAAAGUAACAAGGAGCCAUCUCGCAGACUCUGGGAGCCACCUGAAGCAACAAACAUGACCUACCUGUCACUGAGAAACCCAAACAUAGGGGCACCGACCAUAACACCAAUGAAGAAGACUGUGGCUGUUGCCUUGUUCAUCCCUUUUCUGCUGCACACGAGAUCCCACUGCAAAGACAUGAUUGAAAGCAUUACAGUAAAACAUUUUGCAGUUGUCCAUAGUGGAAGCUGAACUCAAUACCAAGUCAAAACUAAAUGUUUCUUACGUUUGCAUUUAAUAAAAAAUUCAGCCACAAA